AAAGAAGUAAAAAUACAMUUAGUUUCGACCUAAUAUAAGGAAUAUUUAUCCCAUGUUUU
Molecule: transfer RNA, 59 nt
Filed under: Zorka agnesae
Lineage: Eukaryota; Metazoa; Arthropoda; Insecta; Hemiptera; Cicadellidae
Description: tRNA-Arg
Source: RNAcentral